Molecule: ribosomal RNA, 466 nt
Filed under: uncultured bacterium
Lineage: Bacteria
Description: partial 16S ribosomal RNA
Rfam family: Bacterial small subunit ribosomal RNA
Source: RNAcentral
GAUGAACGCUGGCGGCGUGCUUAACACAUGCAAGUCGAACGGAAAGGCUCCUGCCUGCAGGGGUACUCGAGUGGCGAACGGGUGAGUAACACGUGGGUGAUCUGCCCUGUACUUCGGGAUAAGCUUGGGAAACUGGGUCUAAUACCGGAUAUGACAAUCUCUUGGAUGGGGUUGUGGAAAGCUUUUGCGGUAUGGGAUGAGCUCGCGGCCUAUCAGCUUGUUGGUGGGGUAGUGGCCUACCAAGGCGUCGACGGGUAGCCGGCCUGAGAGGGUGUACGGCCACAUUGGGACUGAGAUACGGCCCAGACUCCUACGGGAGGCAGCAGUGGGGAAUAUUGCACAAUGGGCGCAAGCCUGAUGCAGCGACGCCGCGUGGGGGAUGACGGCCUUCGGGUUGUAAACUCCUUUCGCAACCGACGAAGCUUUUGUGACGGUAGGUUGAGAAGAAGCACCGGCUAACUACGUG